Molecule: long non-coding RNA, 2267 nt
Filed under: Gossypium raimondii (Peruvian cotton)
Lineage: Eukaryota; Viridiplantae; Streptophyta; Magnoliopsida; Malvales; Malvaceae
Description: long non-coding RNA (GRAI_LNC000877)
Source: RNAcentral
CUUAAACCUCCUGCAAGUUUUCAACACAAUUCAAUAUUCCAACCAAGUUCAGUUGUACAAACAUACAAAAUUUAACCAUUAAUAAACACUACAUUUUAAAUCGAACCAUAACAUAUAUUUACAUGGUGACGCCCCAUUACAUAAGUCGUCUAUACAUGCCAUAAUUUCCAGAAUACUAGUAGCCAAAAUACUCAAACGUGGAUGAUAGUGUAGAUGAUUGUCUGACUCCGUCCAAAUUCCGAGUUGAUGGAAAUCACUAUAAUCAAGGGAAAAAUAAAAACGAGUAAGCAUAUAGCUUAGUAAGUAAACAUAUGACAAAUAAAUAAUUUCUCACAUGACUACACCAUAGUAUAAAUUUAUUCACAAAUAAAUUUCAUUAUUUGUGUAAUUUCCAGCAAGCUGGUUUUCUGCGUCAUGACCACUAAUUUAUUUUUAUUCGGAGCUACAUGGCUUCAAAUUGAAUUCUGUAAAUUUUUCAUGAAACUAGACCCAUAUAUCUUUCUAUUUCAGAAUUUUUGAUCGAGCCAAUUAGUACAGUUUAUUCUUUAAAUCUUCCCCUGUUUCACUGCCCAACAGUCCUGACCUCCCCUUACAAAAUUUCACAUAACUCUCUGUACAAGUUUCAAAAAAUGUUCUCGUUUGUUUCUAUUAAAAAUAGACUCAAAAAGGAAUCCAGUCAUAUAGAUUUCAAGCCAUAAUUAUUUUUUUUAAAUUUUUGGUGAUUUUCCAAAGUUGGAAUAGGAGAUUUCGAAAUCAAUCCAGCCCUGUCUCAGUAAAAUUCAAAUAUCUCCAAAAAUACAACUCUUUUGCUUACUAUAUUUCUUUCAUAUGAAAAUAGACUCAUUCAGCUUCAAUUUCAUAUAUUAUUUAACCUCUAAUUCAUUUUCCACCAUUUAUGGUGAUUUUUCAAAGUUGCCCAACUGCUAUCAUUCAAAACAGUUGGCAUUCAAAUUGUCUCUUUUUGUGUUUUUGAUUUUCCUCCCAUCUUAUACAUGGGUUGAUUAAUUAUCAAACCCAAUAUUCCUCCCAUAAACUUGUCCACCACAUAUAUGAAUAUUCACCUUCCCAAUUUACUCGUUGAACACUCGGAAUGUUAACCGUUAUCGGUGGAUUCCGCACUUAGCAACCACCAAUGAAUCGAGGAAUCAGCACACAGCAACCCCUUGGGGGAAUCAGCACUUAGCAACCCCCUUCACAUUUCAGAUGCGGUGGAAUCAGCACUUAGCAACCACCAAAUGAGUCGGGGAGUCAGCACUUAGCAACCCCUCGGGGGAAUCAGCACUUAGCAACCCCCUUUCACAUUUAAAAUACGGUGGGAUCAGCACUUAGCAACCACCAAUAGGUAGGGGAAUCAGCACUUAGCAACCCCUCGGGGGAAUCAGCACUUAGCAACCCCCUUUCACAUUUAAAAUAUGGUGGGAUCAGCACUUAGCAACCACCAAUAGGUAGGGGAAUCAGCACACAGCAACCCCUUUAUAUGCAAUAUGCUCCGGCCUAUUCCGAGUGUUCAACCAAAAACCGUGUUUUGCAACCCCUUACCACCUUUCUCGAUUUAACAACAUUUUUGGAAUCUUGCCAAACAUUUAUUUUAUAUUCAAAUACAUCUCAACACAUAUCAAAUAAUACCAAAAUAAUACAUUAAGUCACGUGUUUACUUACCUCGGUGCAAAAUAUCGUAAUUUUGCAAUUCACUCAACUAUCUUUUCUUUUCCUCGUUUGAGAUAAUCUUCCCGUUUUUCUUGAUCUAUAAUGGCAAAUUUAACUCAUUUAAUGUUCACAUUUAUUGAAAUAAUCCACCACCCAACUUUUUGAAAAAUUACAAUUUUACCCCCAAACUUCUGCAUAAUUACACUUUUGUCCCCAAGCUCGGGAAUUAAACUUCAUCACUUAUUCUUAUGUUUUAUGACAUGCUGAACAUUUUUCGCUUCUAUGGCAACAUCAAAUUCUCACUCUAGCACAUACUUUUGAACAUUAACAAUUUUUACCGAUUAUGUCAAUUUACCCGUUUUCGUUUAAAAUCGCUUAGCAAAAGUUGUUUAACAUAAUUUCUAGCUUCAUAUUCCACCAUAAAACAGAAAAAUAAACACUUUUCACCUAUGGGUAUUUUUCCAAAUAUAAACCCUAACAUGAAUUAUUGAUAAAAUAAGCUAAACCGAGCUACGAGGAUUUCAAAAAUGCAAAGAACAUUAAAAACGGGGCUAAGAUGCACUUACUAUGAGCUUGAGAAAGCAAAGAAACCCUAGCUAUGGUGUCUUCCAAAAUUUGGC